UUAGUCUUGCCGGUGGAUCACUCGGCUCGUAGGUCGAUGAAGAUCGCAGCCAAAUGCGAUAGUUAGUGUGAACUGCAGAUAUACUGAACACUAAAGUGUCGAAUGCACAUUGCGCCUUGGGACUUCCAUCCCUCGGCACGCCUGGUUCAGGGUCGUA
This 157-nucleotide ribosomal RNA is filed under the name Paratylenchus sp. 5 SAS-2014. RNAcentral's name for it is "5.8S ribosomal RNA". It matches the Rfam family "5.8S ribosomal RNA". Rfam says of the family: 5.8S ribosomal RNA (5.8S rRNA) is a component of the large subunit of the eukaryotic ribosome. It is transcribed by RNA polymerase I as part of the 45S precursor that also contains 18S and 28S rRNA. Functionally, it is thought that 5.8S rRNA may be involved in ribosome translocation. Lineage: Eukaryota; Metazoa; Nematoda; Chromadorea; Rhabditida; Tylenchulidae. The record is from RNAcentral.